Non-coding RNA from Oryctolagus cuniculus (rabbit), 5628 nucleotides. Lineage: Eukaryota; Metazoa; Chordata; Mammalia; Lagomorpha; Leporidae. The record is from RefSeq and is a predicted model, not a curated record.
CCAGCGAAACGACUUGGUUUGCGGAAGGCCGCCUCUGCGACGUCUCUCCUCGCACGCUCUGAAGACCGCUGCGCACAGCAUCCCGUCCCAGGAACGUCCUGGCCCAGCGAUGCAAAGAACUGACGUUGCAAGGUUUUAUUUCUAUUGCUAGACGGCCCCCAGCCGGAUGGCCCCCAGCGCCAGCGGCGUCCCCCGUGGGAUCUUCUCUCUCCUCGUCCAGCCCGCCCAAGUGCUGUCCUUAAGAAGCCUACAGCUGGAAGAGCCUGUAUUGUCCUCAUAAUCAUAUAGAAGAAUCCGAGAUAAGAGAGGCAGUUAGCAGCAGCGAAUGAAGACUGUAAAAGAAAAGAAGAAGGAAUGCCAAAGAUUAAGAAAAUCUGCCAAGACCAAGAGGCUAGCCCAGAAGAAGCCAUCUUCAGGACCUGUUUGUCGGCUGUGUUUUCAAGAACCUGGAGAUCCUGAAAAGUUAGGGGAAUUUCUUCAGAAAGACAAUCUCAGCGUGCAUUAUUUCUGCCUUAUCCUAUCUAGCAAGCUGCCUCAGAGGGGCCAGUCCAACAGAGGGUUCCAUGGAUUCCUGCCUGAAGACAUCAAGAAAGAGGCAAUCCGGGCUUCUAGGAAGGUCUGCUUUGUGUGCAAGAAAAAGGGAGCUGCCAUCAAUUGCCAGAAGGACCAGUGCUUCAGGAACUUCCAUCUGCCUUGUGGCCAAGAAAGGGGUUGCCUUUCACAAUUUUUUGGAGAGUACAAAUCAUUUUGUGGAAAACAUCGCCCAACACAGGACAUCCAUCGGGAGAAUGUGAGGGAGGAGAGCUGUGUCUUGUGUUGUGAAGAUUUAUCCCAGACGAGUGUUGAGAACAUCCAGAGCCCGUGUUGCAGUCAAGCUGUCUACCACCGCAAGUGCAUCCAGAAAUAUGCCCACACAUCAGCAAAGCAUUUCUUCAAAUGUCCACAGUGUAACAAUCGAGAAGAGUUUCCCCAAGAAAUGCUAAGAAUGGGGAUUCAUAUUCCAGACAGAGAUGCUGCCUGGGAGCUUGAGCCAGGGGCUUUCUCGGAGUUAUAUCAGCGCUAUCAGCAUUGUGAUGCCCCCGCCUGUCUGUAUGAGCAAGGCAGAGACAGCUUUGAGGAUGAAGGGAGGUGGUGCCUCGUUCUGUGUGCUACCUGCGGAUCCCGUGGAACCCACAGGGGCUGCUCAGCUCUCAAACCCAACAGUAAGAAAUGGGAAUGUGAGGAAUGUUCACCUGCUUCAGGCACAGGACACCACACUGCACCGAGUUAUCCCAUGUCUACCUUCCUCUUGGCGCUGAGUUUGCCAGACUUCUCUUGCUAUUGAUGACCUUGAAGCUUUUGAGAACUAGUCAGCACUUUUUUCGCUUCUGACGAGAGCCAGCCUUUGAACAUGACCUGGCUUCCUCUGUGCCUCCAGUGGCCCACUGGCCCUGGGCCCUCAGCGCAGCUUUCCAGAGGACUACGGUGGUGCCCAAGGAGGCGGCCAAGGAUGCAGGAAGAUGACGUCGUAGGUCCCAUCCUCAGCUUCCACGCGGUCCACCACAAUCUGGCGCAGCUGCUGGGCCAGACGCGGCCCACGCGGCUGACGGUGACACGGCCCGGGCCGCCGUCAGGUGAGGGGACCGUCUCGGAGAAGAAGAAGUACACCUUGUCAUCAGCAUGGUCGGAGUUGUCAGGGAUGCGGGCAGCCAUAAUGAACCGGGGAUCUGGACAGGACCUGCAACACAGCCUGGCUGACUGCACUGGGCUCAACGUCCCAGUUUCCCCAUCUGGACUCUCCUUGCCGCUGGGUCAAGCUUACCUCUCGGGGGUCUGGCCAUGCCUGGCCCAGCCGCAGCGAGUAGAGGGCAUCGCGGCCCCCCAGAAAGAGGCGAUCUCGGUACUCAUCCAGCCCAGGCCACCUGCCCUCCAGGUCAGGCUGUGACCUUCUGCGUGGGAGACCUCUACUGCAUGAGCUCCCCUGGGGGCCUCCUCCGUGCCCGGGCUGGGAACGGGCUUCUUGCGCCUGUGAUAGCUGUGUUUGCGCGCUCUGCCUCCACCUGCUUUCAUGUCCCUGCCACCUGUCUCGGAGGCAUCUGCACACAGGGACAAGAGUCUGCUCGUCCUCCGUGCACUCGCACAGCGUCACCUGAGUCAGUCCUGGGGCCCCCCGGGCAAACCUGCAUCGAGCGAGGAGCUACAAAACCACCGGCGGGGGAGCUCUGCAGAGGGGUCCGGGUCUUGGGGCAGAGGCUGAGGAAGUGUCACCCUCUGGCAGGGGCCGGGAAGCUCAUGGCCGCUGGCGAGGUCUCAGGCUCCCGGGUCGGAGCGGACGUAGGGGGGACGCUGGGCAGCACGAGGGCACGUGAAGGAAUAGCGCCCCCUCCGUGCUGACUUCCGGGGCGCGCUUGCUAUGCUGUGGUUAGUUCAGAUGUUAGCAUUUGGGGAACUUGGGUGAAGGGCAAGCGGGAGCUUUCUGUGCUAUUUUUGCAAGUCUGGGAUUUCAAAAUGUGAAACCCACUAGAUGAGCACAGGGGCCUCCGCUUCCCAGUACCCCACCGUGGAACCUGUGCCUCCCCGGCUUCCAGAGCCCGGGAAUUGGCAGUUGGGCCAAAAGUCUAGGAGUCACUCCCGCCUCUUACUUCCUGCCUCUAUGCCCAUUCCUUCAGCAAGUUCUGCCCGUUCUGGUUCCAAAACGUGCCCUGAGCCCCUGCACCCCACUCCCUUCCCACAGCAUCGUCCCACCCUGCCCCAGCCCAGGGGGGGCUCCUGCUGCCCCCACCUCCCCCUCACCUGGACUGAGUUUCUCGUGGGGCCUGGCCCUGACCCCCUUCUCCCAAACCUGCUGAGGGAGGCUUGACUCCUUUCCCUUGCCCCACCGUGGCCAGUUUCCUGUGGUUCUUCAAGCCUUGCUCAAAGGAUCAACAACUUCAGGAAGCCCUCCCAGACUACCUGCGGGCCCAGCACGCCUCUGCAGUCUCUAUUCCAGCCCCACACUGGUGCUCCCAUUGCGCUCGCUUCACUCUUGGUCUCCGUGGGUUGACCAGGCUUCACUCAUGCAUCCCAGCACCCACCAUGGCCAGGCCCAUGGCAGGUGUGUGAGUAAAAGGUGGGUGUGCUGUCGGGGGCUGUCCACUGUGGCCCUUUCAUCUCUCUGGCUGCCCCUGCAUGUCUGUAGGGCUCCCCGAGUUCUCCAGCUCCCAGGGCAGGCCUGAGGCUCCCGGGCAGCUCCUGGCAGCUCUGGCCCCCACCAGAAGCAUCCCCAGAAUUCCAAGAGUGUCUCUGGAAUGCCAGGCCUGUGUGGGGAAUUGCCUGGGUGGAGGCACAGGUGCAGAGGCCGGGACAGCUGCGGGCAUUCUGGCUGGAGCCUGGGUGCCGGCGGCAGCUGCCCCUCCUGGGAGUGCCACCGCUGACACCUCGGCCUCCCUGCAGCCCCCACCGCCUCCCAGGGCGAGCCCCCCUGUGCUGGCACCGCUCUGGCCCGGGGAAUCUGCACUGAGCUCAGAGGCCCCUGCCAGCCGCCAGCCUCUAAGAGUCACAGGAACCGGCCCAUCACACAGAGCCCCAGCCAGGCAGCUUCACUCUUCUUCAAACUCCGGGGUGUCCUGCACGGUCCCGGCACCUCUCGAGGUCCCUGGGGUCCCGCCUGUGAAAUGGGCGAGGGGAAGCAGGGCCGACGCGACGCCCCUCGGUCCCCAGGAGCUGAUGUUUCUGUGGGUCGGAGCCAGGGCCUGCUGGGUCCCACAGGGCCAGCUUCCCCGCAGGCAGAGCUGAGAGGCACUGCACUGCCGGCUCCCUUCAAGGAGAGAAGCUCUGGGCUGCCACCUGCCCUGACCACAGCUGCGUCCCAGAAGCUUGUGCGAAUGCAUUACUUCAGCCAUAGAAAGCAGUGUGCAGAGCGUGGAGCACGGCCACAGGCCCUGAGAGACUCCAAGGCUUCCCGCAGGGGCUGGGGAUCCAGAGCAGGCGCAGACCCCGGGAAGGGCGCGGGCACCGGGAGGGGGCAGUCAGAGGCAGGCAGGCCACUGGGGGGCAAGGCUUUAUUCACACCGCAGGCCGGGGAGGGAUCCAGGGUCGGGGCGAGGGGCGGCUGACCCUCACGGCCCCGCCCCGGCGCCACCCCAGCUGGAGUCGGAGCAUCUGGGCGGCUCCCGCUGAAGGCUGGGUCUAUUCCACACCCUUCAUGAAUUCCAGGAACUCUGUGGAGAGAGGGCCAGGAGGCAGUGAGCGGGCCGCCGGGCAGGGCACGGCGGCAGGGCCCCGGCCCCCGCUCACCGUCGUAGUCGAUGCGGCCGUCGUUGUUCUUGUCGCCGUCCUUCAUGAGCUCCUCGAUGUCGUCCUCCGUGAUGGUCUCGCCCGUGGCCUGCAGCAUGAUCUUCAGCUCGUCCAGGUCGAUGUAGCCGUCGGCGUUUCUGAGGGGGAGCCGGGGCUGCAGCUUGUGGGGAGGGCCGGAGGCACCCCUCACCCCCCUCACACAGGGUCCCUUCAUCUCAAAUUGGAGGCUGCCCACUGCCCCAGUUCUGCCCGGUCAGGGUGGCAGGCUCAGAGGUCAAGAGCAGCGUGCUCACUUGUCAAACAUGCGGAAGAGGUCAGACAGCUCCUCCUCGGAUUUCCCUUUGCUGUCGUCCUUCAUACAGCGGACCAUCAUGACCAGGAACUCGUCGAAGUCCACCGUGCCGCUGCCUGUGAUGCGGGCGGCAUGCCGUGAGGCAGCGGCCUGGACACAAGCCCCACGUUCUCCCUGCACCCUCACACCGCCUCUUGGAGGCGAGCGUGGUCAGUAUGCCCAUUUGACAGACGAGACAACUGAGGCUCAAACAGGCUAAACAGCCACUGGACAGACAGAGCCAGGCCUGACCCCAGCGAGACGGGCAGGCGGGGCUCACCGUCUUCGUCCACCUCGUCGAUCAUCUCCUGCAGCUCCUCGGGCGUGGGGUUCUGGCCCAGCAUCCGCAUCACCUUGCCCAGCUCCUUGGUGCUGAUGCAGCCAUCCUCCGCGCCCAGCACGAAGAUGUCGAAGGCCGCCUUGAACUCUGCAUCAACAAGGUGGGGCCGGGGACAGAGAGAGAGCAGCGCGUCUCAGCAGCCAGGACCCCAGAGGGCCAGCUGCCAAGCUGCCUUCUUCCCUCUGAGACCGCUGAGGUGCCAGCCAGGGGGCCCAGCUUCUGGCCUCCAGCUGGGACUCCUCUCCUGGGACUCCCCCAGCCUGGCCCUGCUGUCCCCAGCAGUGCAGCAGGGGACACUCACCAUUUUUCUGCUCUUCUGUCAGCUGCUCUACCUAGGGAGGAAAAGGGGUCUCAGGACACAGACUCAGGCCUUGGCUGCUUUCGAGGGAAGCAACUGUCCCACAGGUGGGAAGGCUGAAGCCAGGAGCCAGGCCACCAAGAAGAGACCUCAGCCCUCCCUUCCUGUCCCAAAGCCCUGAGGUGACACAGCUGGCCUCACUGAGGCUGGGCUCGGGGCCAGGGUGACAGGUGGGCACCCCCUCCAGGGCCAAGGUGACCCGGGGUAACAAUAGCCAGUGACCACUCAACGCCCUUUCAGCCUCCCUAAUGAAACCCAAGCUGCGAGGCCUGAAGGACAGCUGUCCCUCAGGCUGGGACAAUAAAACUCGGGUGGGGACGGGCAAAGCCACCCUCUGUAACCUGA